ACGAAGACAAGUGACCAACGUGGGUAUUUAAUCUCUAUUACUAUAAUUUCGUUUGUAAUAUUCAAUUUAUUUUGAAUGGAAGAGUGGUAUGUAAUUUUCGUUAUCAACUUAUAUUGGCAGGGUAUGAGAUAAGUAAGGACCGUUUUUAUGAGAUGUUAGCGGUUUUGGGUUCAGUUAACAAAGAAGGCGCAGACUACCUUUGUAA
Molecule: long non-coding RNA, 205 nt
Filed under: Gossypium barbadense (sea-island cotton)
Lineage: Eukaryota; Viridiplantae; Streptophyta; Magnoliopsida; Malvales; Malvaceae
Description: long non-coding RNA (GBAR_LNC001343)
Source: RNAcentral